Molecule: long non-coding RNA, 756 nt
Organism: Brassica oleracea var. oleracea
Lineage: Eukaryota; Viridiplantae; Streptophyta; Magnoliopsida; Brassicales; Brassicaceae
Exons: 3
Source: RefSeq, a predicted model, not a curated record
UUAUCAACAACAAUUAUCCUUUUUAGGUACCAAGCAGGGGCGGAGCCAGCACCUUAUCCAAGUCAUUUGAAAUGUAGUGAUGAUGCAUCUAUCACCCCCCAUCGUACCAUUGUAAAACCCAUGGUGAAUCUUCACAUUAGAUGCAAGAGAUGAGAGGAUGUUUUCGCGGUUAAUAGCAUAUUUACUAUCUUCUCCAAAAGACCCAGUGCCACUGCAUCGCUGUGAAGAAACAACAGCAAUUAUGCUACUGAGGACGAACAAGAAGAUCAAUAAGGAAAUCUUCUUGGCCAUUCUCAAUGCUUUGGAAUCAUUCAACUUGACUAAACAAAAGAAACAAUAUCAUUGUCGGCACUCACUUUCAAAACCUACCAUGUGUUGAAAAUAGCGCCUCAAGUGGUGAAGCGAUAAGGAAGAACAAUCUAGCCUAGGCCAACGCUAGGGUCGCGUCCCUAGACAAGAUCCGGAGCAGGUUGUAGAGCGAAAGAGAGUGCAUGAAAAAAGAUGUCAUAAUUGGAGUGUUUACUGCGGAACAGGCAUGCGGGGCAGUUUGACGGUUGAUCCCACAAGGAGCAGCCGGGUGAUUGCUCUCGAUAUUUAAUAAAACCUUCAAAAUAUUUCGGGGUUAUCCCUAACUGCCCUAUCUUCUCAUCUAUUCUAGUGGUCCCUCCAUAUAAAAGACGCCUUCUAUCUUUACUUUUUUACGCUAGUUUUUGGCAAAAAACCUUAGACUCGAUUUUUAGCGAAUUGUAACUUGUA